Molecule: transfer RNA, 75 nt
Filed under: Verrucomicrobiota bacterium
Lineage: Bacteria; Pseudomonadati; Verrucomicrobiota
Description: Verrucomicrobia bacterium (freshwater metagenome) tRNA-Thr
Rfam family: tRNA
About the family: Transfer RNA (tRNA) molecules are approximately 80 nucleotides in length.
Source: RNAcentral
GCUCGCGUAGCUCAGGGGUAGAGCGCAUCCUUGGUAAGGAUGAGGUCGGGGGUUCAAUUCCCCCUGCGAGCUCCA